AACUGCAUGCACCAUCAUGAGAAGAAAGAGAGGCUAUAAAUACCUCAUUCCAUCCUCCACUAUUUCACCAAUUUCACAACACAAUCACACCUUCCCACAUUAAUACAACAACAAGCUAAGUCAUCGUCAUUCAAACAUUCUCAGCAACAAAAAUGAAGGGAUCAUCAGUGGCAGUGAUUUCAAUGGUGGUUGUGGUCGCCAUGGUGGCGGCAAUGCCAGCU
Molecule: long non-coding RNA, 221 nt
Filed under: Linum usitatissimum (flax)
Lineage: Eukaryota; Viridiplantae; Streptophyta; Magnoliopsida; Malpighiales; Linaceae
Description: long non-coding RNA (LUSI_LNC000554)
Source: RNAcentral